CAGCUGAAGGCCAAGCACUAAUCAAAGUGGUCAGAUUGGGGGAGGUGAAACAGCAAAGAGAAGUUGUAUUGGUAGACCUCCCCCAGCCACAACAGGAGUCCUACAAAGUGCUCGAUAAAAAAGAAAAUAUGAACAAUUAAUGACGAACAAAAAGCACAAUUCAAAAUUUUGAUCUAUAUAAUUCUAAGGAUCACACAGAUCUAAAGGAGAGAAGAUCAGUAGCCAUCUUGUCCUUCAUCCUGCUCCCAUUUUAUAGAUGAGGAAACUGAGUACCAGAGAAAUAAAAGGACUUGUUUAAUAUCAUAGCAAGUUGGAAAGGAAACCAAGAAGAAAAUGGUGUGACAGGCAAAUGGAGGCCAAUUGGCAGUGCAACAGCGGAGAGUGGAGAGAAAGGGAAGAAAGAUGCUUUGGAUGAGUCGCUGGUAGUCAUACCCACUCCAUUCUUCUGGUUUAAUUAAGCCUGUUCUCUCCAGUCCAUUCUCACUGACUCAUCUAAUAAAGUCUUAUCACCACUUUGCUUCUGUUCCUUA
RNAcentral lists this long non-coding RNA (530 nucleotides) under Monodelphis domestica (gray short-tailed opossum). Its description in RNAcentral is "lncRNA (ENSMODG00000036107.2)". The record is from RNAcentral. Lineage: Eukaryota; Metazoa; Chordata; Mammalia; Didelphimorphia; Didelphidae.